UGGUUUUCUCAAAUAUCAAUAUAGUAUAUUUAUGUGUUUUAAUUUUUUUGUUAUUGUAUCCUUACAUUAUUUUUUAUUUUUUCAAAUUUUUGUAGUGGUGUUUUGUUAUGAACCUAACAAUUUAGUUCUCUACUCAUAUAUCUUAUAGAAAAAUCUUAUUUGUUAUUAACGUACUCGUACCUUGAUUAAUGGUGAAAGUUGAUGUGAUGAAAUUUCUGCAGAAU
Molecule: long non-coding RNA, 224 nt
Filed under: Lathyrus oleraceus (garden pea)
Lineage: Eukaryota; Viridiplantae; Streptophyta; Magnoliopsida; Fabales; Fabaceae
Description: Pisum sativum (pea) long non-coding RNA (PSAT_LNC030598)
Source: RNAcentral